GGGGGAUAUUGCACAAUGGAGGAAACUCUGAUGCAGCAACGCCGCGUGAGUGAUGAAGGUUUUCGGAUCGUAAAGCUCUGUUGCCAGGGAAGAACGUCUUCUGGAGUAACUGCCAGGAGAGUGACGGUACCUGAGAAGAAAGCCCCGGCUAACUACGUGCCAGCAGCCGCGGUAAUACGUAGGGGGCAAGCGUUGUCCGGAAUUAUUGGGCGUAAAGCGCGCGCAGGCGGCUGUUUAAGUCUGGUGUACAAUCCUGGGGCUCAACCCCGGGUCGCACUGGAAACUGGACAGCUUGAGUGCAGAAGAGGAGAGUGGAAUUCCACGUGUAGCGGUGAAAUGCGUAGAGAUGUGGAGGAACACCAGUGGCGAAGGCGACUCUCUGGGCUGUAACUGACGCUGAGGCGCGAAAGCGUGGGGAGCAAAC
RNAcentral lists this ribosomal RNA (424 nucleotides) under uncultured bacterium. RNAcentral describes it as "bacterial SSU rRNA". It matches the Rfam family "Bacterial small subunit ribosomal RNA", at positions 356 to 773 of the family's 1533-position model. The record is from RNAcentral.